This 259-nucleotide ribosomal RNA is filed under the name uncultured bacterium. Its description in RNAcentral is "partial 16S ribosomal RNA". It matches the Rfam family "Bacterial small subunit ribosomal RNA", at positions 1242 to 1500 of the family's 1533-position model. The record is from RNAcentral.
ACGAGUCGCAAACUCGCGAGAGUAAGCUAAUCUCUUAAAGCCGUUCUCAGUUCGGACUGUAGGCUGCAACUCGCCUACACGAAGUCGGAAUCGCUAGUAAUCGCGGAUCAGCAUGCCGCGGUGAAUACGUUCCCGGGCCUUGUACACACCGCCCGUCACACCAUGAGAGUCGGGAACACCCGAAGUCCGUAGCCUAACAGCAAUGAGGGCGCGGCCGAAGGUGGGUUUGAUAAUUGGGGUGAAGUCGUAACAAGGUACC